GUUCAGUCGACAAUGAAGUUGUUUUGUAUUUUUUUUAUAUUUACAAUUUUAGUUAUGAAUGCCAUUGCACAGGUACCUUACGACUACAUCCCUUUAGGGCGAAAAUCACGUCGCGAGCGACCGCAGCAGUUUGCUUCUGACAUAAACCUGAAUUAUGAACGACUUUACCCAGCUAGGCGUAGAUAUUAUCCUGAUUAAUAAACUUUGAAUAUAUAGU
Molecule: long non-coding RNA, 217 nt
Organism: Pararge aegeria (speckled wood butterfly)
Lineage: Eukaryota; Metazoa; Arthropoda; Insecta; Lepidoptera; Nymphalidae
Exons: 2
Source: RefSeq, a predicted model, not a curated record